This 470-nucleotide ribosomal RNA is filed under the name uncultured soil bacterium. Its description in RNAcentral is "bacterial SSU rRNA". It matches the Rfam family "Bacterial small subunit ribosomal RNA", at positions 26 to 476 of the family's 1533-position model. The record is from RNAcentral.
AGAUUGAACGCUGGCGGCAGGCCUAACACAUGCAAGUCGAGCGGUAGAGAGGUGCUUGCAUCUCUUGAGAGCGGCGGACGGGUGAGUAAUGCCUAGGAAUCUGCCUAGUGGUGGGGGAUAACGUUCGGAAACGGACGCUAAUACCGCAUACGUCCUACGGGAGAAAGGCGGGGGACCUUCGGGCCUCGCGCCAUUAGAUGAGCCUAGGCCGGAUUAGCUAGUUGGUGAGGUAAUGGCUCACCAAGGCGACGAUCCGUAACUGGUCUGGAGAGGAUGAUCAGUCACACUGGAACUGAGACACGGUCCAGACUCCGUACGGGAGGCAGCAGGUAGGGGAAAUAGUUGGAACAAGUGGGACGAAAGCCUGAUCCAGCCAUCGCCGCGUUGUGUAGAAGAAGGUUCGUUACGGAUUAGUAAAGCUAAGUUUAAGGUGGGAGGUAAGGGUUGUAAACCUUAAGUACGUUGACUAA